RNAcentral lists this ribosomal RNA (463 nucleotides) under uncultured Pseudomonas sp. RNAcentral's name for it is "bacterial SSU rRNA". It matches the Rfam family "Bacterial small subunit ribosomal RNA", at positions 923 to 1382 of the family's 1533-position model. Lineage: Bacteria; Pseudomonadati; Pseudomonadota; Gammaproteobacteria; Pseudomonadales; Pseudomonadaceae. The record is from RNAcentral.
GCACAAGCGGUGGAUCAUGUUGUUUAAUUUCGAUGAUACGCGAAGAACCUUACCAGGCCUUGACAUGCAGAGAACUUUCCAGAGAUGGAUUUGGUGCCUUCGGGAACUCUGACACAGGUGCUGCAUGGCUGUCGUCAGCUCGUGUCGUGAGAUGUUGGGUUAAGUCCCGUAACGAGCGCAACCCUUGUCCUUAGUUACCAGCACGUUAUGGUGGGCACUCUAAGGAGACUGCCGGUGACAAACCGGAGGAAGGUGGGGAGUGACGUCAAGUCAUCAUGGCCCUUAUGUCCUGGGCUACACACGUGCUACAAUGGCCGGUACAGAGUGAAGCGAAACCGCGAGGUGAAGCAAAACGCAGAAAGCCGGUCUCAGUACGGAUUGGAGUCUGAAACUCGACUUCAUGAAGUUGGAAUCGCUAGUAAUCGCGCAUCAGCAUGGCGCGGUGAAUACGUUCCCGGGCCUU